This 69-nucleotide transfer RNA is filed under the name Fukomys damarensis (Damara mole-rat). It matches the Rfam family "tRNA". Rfam says of the family: Transfer RNA (tRNA) molecules are approximately 80 nucleotides in length. Their secondary structure includes four short double-helical elements and three loops (D, anti-codon, and T loops). Lineage: Eukaryota; Metazoa; Chordata; Mammalia; Rodentia; Bathyergidae. The record is from Rfam by way of RNAcentral.
GGGAAUGUAACUUAGUGGUACAGUGCUUGCCUAGCAUGCACAAGGGUCUGGGUUCAAUACCCAGCACCA